This 502-nucleotide ribosomal RNA is filed under the name uncultured bacterium. RNAcentral's name for it is "partial 16S ribosomal RNA". It matches the Rfam family "Bacterial small subunit ribosomal RNA", at positions 30 to 523 of the family's 1533-position model. The record is from RNAcentral.
ACUGAACGCUGGCGGCAUGCCUUACACAUGCAAGUCGAACGGCAGCAUAGGAGCUUGCUCCUGAUGGCGAGUGGCGAACGGGUGAGUAAUAUAUCGGAACGUGCCCUAGAGUGGGGGAUAACUAGUCGAAAGACUAGCUAAUACCGCAUACGAUCUACGGAUGAAAGUGGGGGAUCGCAAGACCUCAUGCUCCUGGAGCGGCCGAUAUCUGAUUAGCUAGUUGGUGGGGUAAAAGCUCACCAAGGCGACGAUCAGUAGCUGGUCUGAGAGGACGACCAGCCACACUGGGACUGAGACACGGCCCAGACUCCUACGGGAGGCAGCAGUGGGGAAUUUUGGACAAUGGGGGCAACCCUGAUCCAGCAAUGCCGCCUGAGUGAAGAAGGCCUUCGGGUUGUAAAGCUCCUUUGUCAGGGAAGAAACGGUUCUGGAUAAUACCUGGGACUAAUGACGGUACCUGAAGAAUAAGCACCGGCUAACUACGUGCCAGCCGCCGCCGUAA